UACGUAGGGUGCGAGCGUUGUCCGGAAUUACUGGGCGUAAAGAGCUCGUAGGUGGUUUGUCGCGUUGUUCGUGAAAUCUCACGGCUUAACUGUGAGCGUGCGGGCGAUACGGGCAGACUAGAGGUAUGCAGGGGAGAAUGGAAUUCCUGGUGUAGCGGUGAAAUGCGCAGAUAUCAGGAGGAACACCGGUGGCGAAGGCGGGUCUCUGGGCCGAUACUGACGCUGAGGAGCGAAAGCGUGGGGAGCGAACAGG
This 253-nucleotide ribosomal RNA is filed under the name uncultured bacterium. RNAcentral describes it as "partial 16S ribosomal RNA". It matches the Rfam family "Bacterial small subunit ribosomal RNA", at positions 524 to 776 of the family's 1533-position model. The record is from RNAcentral.